RNAcentral lists this ribosomal RNA (541 nucleotides) under Hanseniaspora sp. LPBII-A. RNAcentral describes it as "eukaryotic LSU rRNA". The stretch from base 151 to 304 matches the Rfam family "5.8S ribosomal RNA". Lineage: Eukaryota; Fungi; Ascomycota; Saccharomycetes; Saccharomycodales; Saccharomycodaceae. The record is from RNAcentral.
UUUACACACAUGGGAGUUUUUUACUUUAAUUUAAUUCUUUCUGCUUUGAAUCGAAAGGUUCAAGGCAAAAAACAAACACAAACAAUUUUAUUUUAUUAUAAUUUUUUAAACUAAACCAAAAUUCCUAACGGAAAUUUUAAAAUAAUUUAAAACUUUCAACAACGGAUCUCUUGGUUCUCGCAUCGAUGAAGAACGUAGCGAAUUGCGAUAAGUAAUGUGAAUUGCAGAUACUCGUGAAUCAUUGAAUUUUUGAACGCACAUUGCGCCCUUGAGCAUUCUCAAGGGCAUGCCUGUUUGAGCGUCAUUUCCUUCUCAAAAGAUAAUUUUUUAUUUUUUGGUUGUGGGCGAUACUCAGGGUUAGCUUGAAAUUGGAGACUGUUUCAGUCUUUUUUAAUUCAACACUUAGCUUCUUUGGAGACGCUGUUCUCGCUGUGAUGUAUUUAUGGAUUUAUUCGUUUUACUUUACAAGGGAAAUGGUAAUGUACCUUAGGCAAAGGGUUGCUUUUAAUAUUCAUCAAGUUUGACCUCAAAUCAGGUAGGA